This 502-nucleotide ribosomal RNA is filed under the name uncultured bacterium. RNAcentral describes it as "partial 16S ribosomal RNA". It matches the Rfam family "Bacterial small subunit ribosomal RNA", at positions 29 to 507 of the family's 1533-position model. The record is from RNAcentral.
AGCGAACGCUGGCGGCGUGCCUAACACAUGCAAGUCGAACGUGAAAGGGAGCAAUCCCAAGUAAAGUGGCGUACGGGUGAGUAACACGUAGGUAAUCUACCCCAGAAUCUGGAAUAACCGGCCGAAAGGCUGGCUAAUACUGGAUAGAGCGACGGAAUCCGUAAUUGGGUUUUUCGUGAAAGGGAGCCUGUAAAAAGGCCUUCGUUCUGGGAUGAGCCUGCGUCCCAUCAGCUAGUUGGUGAGGUAAAAGCUUACCAAGGCAAUGACGGGUAGCUGGUCUGCGAGGACGGUCAGCCACACUGGAACUGAAACACGGUCCAGACUCAUACGGGAGGCAGCAGUGGGGAAUCUUGAGCAAUGGACGAAAGUCUGACGCAGCAACGCCGCGUGAGCGAAGAAGGCCGUCGGGUUGUAAAGCUCUGUCGAGUGGGACGAAAAUGCUUGGAGUUCACAGCUCCAGGAACUGACGGUACCACUAAAGGAAGCACCGGCUAACUCCGUG